Long non-coding RNA from Sycon ciliatum, 1233 nucleotides. RefSeq lists it as uncharacterized. The transcript is spliced from 2 exons. The record is from RefSeq and is a predicted model, not a curated record. NCBI's taxonomy places the organism in Eukaryota, Metazoa, Porifera, Calcarea, Leucosolenida, Sycettidae.
CACAGACGAUUAUACAUUAUACAGUCCAGCAGCCAUAGUGGCCGAAAUGAAAUAAACCUCUGCAUGCCAAAUGCAUGUACGUGUACAUGGCCAAUACUGAUCCAGAUUUCUCAUUACUGUUUUCUGAUGAUCGCUUAGUGCGUGAAACUCGGAGUAACAACACUUUCUCUGUCCUCCUAUUGUUUGAACCAGCUCUACCACUCGGUAUUGAGCACUCUCUUGGACAGCCUGGAACCUCUCUGUUUUGUGUAUAGCCAUGUUUGUAUUUCCGAUGUAGCAGCGACAUUGAAGUGCGCGCAAGGAUUUUCUGACGUGAGGAAGAUGGAUUGACGUUUUGGGAGUGAAUCCAAGAUAACGCAGUUGUUUUCUCUACUGUUUUUCAACUGCUCUGUGAACGGCGUAUAGACUGAAUUACCAAUCCCCGCGCGUAUAAUGGGCAAGGUAUGGAUGGCCCGUAUGUGUUUACUGGUGGGCUGCUUACUCGUCGCUGGAGGCUCCAUCACCUUCCUGUUUUGGAUAAUGAACUGGACAACAGGUGAUGACAGGUUUGCUCUGGGAGGGCUCUUUGUGAUUCUGGGAUUGAUUGUUCUCUUGACUGGUGCCCGAGAACGCACACAACACGAAGGAGACAAGCCUAGAGCUCGCCCAUUAUGGGCAACAGCACGAAUGCGAGCGAAUUUCCUGGAGGACCGAGAUUUCCCUAUAAGCGAAUUCUACAUGUACCACCUGACUGAGGAGCCUGACUACGAUGAUGCGUGCGAUGACGUAUUGGCUCUGUAAAGAGCUGCCGGCCAUCGUAAUGAAUGUGUUUCCCUUAUAGGCCAACAAUGACAAUCUUGCAUGUACAUUGUACAUGUAUAAUGCAUGCCAAUACUAGCUCGAUUGUCAGCGUAGUCACUCCAUACAUUCUGACACAGGGACAGAGACACUGACUUGACUUCUUAUGCAAUUAUGGAUGCAUCAGAGCGUUUCAACCAAAUCCGGCAUUAUAGUUCGUUGCUCCGAAACCACAUGGUUACAAUGUACAUGUAGAUUUAAUUGAACAUCUCACCAUCUUGAUCUACUUGCGUCCUACAAACUGAUUCUGAAAUCGGCCCUUGUCUUUAUCUAUUAUGCCCUUUUGACAUUAUUUUUACUGUACCAAUCUCGAAUUCUGCAUAUUCGCCUACAUGUAGAUAUCAGCAGGCUGAGUUAACUUACAUGUACAUGUAAAUAUAUCAUUUUUCGUUGAUC